ACGAACGCUGGCGGCAUGCCUAACACAUGCAAGUCGAACGAGACCUUCGGGUCUAGUGGCGCACGGGUGCGUAACGCGUGGGAACCUGCCCUUAGGUUCGGAAUAACUCCCCGAAAGGGGUGCUAAUACCGGAUAAUGUCUUCGGACCAAAGAUUUAUCGCCUUUGGAUGGGCCCGCGUUGGAUUAGCUAGUUGGUAGGGUAAAAGCCUACCAAGGCGACGAUCCAUAGCUGGUCUGAGAGGAUGAUCAGCCACACUGGGACUGAGACACGGCCCAGACUCCUACGGGAGGCAGCAGUGGGGAAUAUUUGACAAUGGGCGAAAGCCUGAUCCAGCAAUGCCGCGUGAGUGAUGAAGGCCUUAGGGUUGUAAAGCUCUUUUACCCGGGAUGAUAAUGACAGUACCGGGAGAAUAAGCUCCGGCUAACUCCGU
RNAcentral lists this ribosomal RNA (431 nucleotides) under uncultured bacterium. RNAcentral describes it as "partial 16S ribosomal RNA". It matches the Rfam family "Bacterial small subunit ribosomal RNA", at positions 29 to 506 of the family's 1533-position model. The record is from RNAcentral.